CUCAGAGGCCACUCCGCCUUGCUCAAAAGGCCAGAAGAAGGGCAGACGGAAGGAAAGAAGGAAAAAAAGAAGCAAAGAAGGAUGGAUGGACAUGCAGAAGAAUGUGGCUGCUGCUUUAAAUGUACCAGUGUUAAGCUCCAAACACAGUAGCCAAGAGCUCAUGUUAAAUGGUUCCAAUGUCCUCUUCCUCAAAACCUUGCUCUCAGAUGGGAACCAGCUCAUUCAUACAAGGCCACCUCAGGCCCAUUAUACUUCAGUAUUUCUUCGAGUUUGAUCCAGGGACCACCUGCAGCUGAAACACGAACCUAGACAAAGCCGUGUGUCAUUUAGAAAUUGGAUUCCUCAUGGAACACAAAUCAGUCUAUUGUGGCUUAACCUGGUUAUUUUCCUCAUUCACUGAUACAGCUGAAGGCAAAAAGAGGAAAAGGGAAGCAACAAGGAGGAAAGGUGCCACUUCUAUCAGGAAAAUCAAAGUUUCCCCAAAUUCCCGGAAAUCUGCUUCUCACUGAUCCCAAACAGAGAUGUCAGCAUACAUUCAGGAUUUAUAAUGUGUGAUCGAUCAACGACAGAAAUCAAGGUGAUAUUGAAAAUCAUCAAAUACUGAAUUAAAAUGUGUGAAAAUUCAAGCAGAAGAUCAUCUGGAAAUCUACUUUUCUGAAAUUUUUAGCAGGAAACGAUGAAGGGAGAGAUGAGAGAAAAGAAUAAAGAGUGCAAGGAAAUAAAGAUAUUUAUUGGCCAUUUCUUAGUAGGUAACCAUCAUCUUCACACGUAUUUUCCAGCCUUUAUAUUACCACUCCUCCAGUGGAUGAGUAAACCAAAGUUCAGAAAGGUUAAAUGAACUCCUAAAGGAUGAAAGCCCGUGUUUCCCACUUCACCAGUCCACCUGAUAAGAAAGGCUUUAAAAUGAAAAUCCCAUUUUGUGUACUGUCUAAGUAAAA
Molecule: long non-coding RNA, 938 nt
Organism: Diceros bicornis minor
Lineage: Eukaryota; Metazoa; Chordata; Mammalia; Perissodactyla; Rhinocerotidae
Exons: 5
Source: RefSeq, a predicted model, not a curated record